RNAcentral lists this ribosomal RNA (440 nucleotides) under uncultured bacterium. RNAcentral describes it as "partial 16S ribosomal RNA". It matches the Rfam family "Bacterial small subunit ribosomal RNA", at positions 339 to 795 of the family's 1533-position model. The record is from RNAcentral.
CUACGGGAGGCAGCAGUAGGGAAUUUUGCGCAACGGGGGAAACCCUGACGCAGCAACGCCGCGUGAACGAUGACGCUUUUCGGAGUGUAAAGUUCUGUCAGUGGGGACGAAUUUUGACGGUACCCACAGAGGAAGCACCGGCUAACUCCGUGCCAGCAGCCGCGGUAAUACGGAGGGUGCAAGCGUGGUCCGGAAUCAUUGGGCGUAAAGAGUUCGUAGGCGGUAUGUUAAGUCUGGUGUUAAAGCCCGAAGCUCAACUUCGGUUCGGCACUGGAUACUGGCAAACUUGAAUGUGGUAGAGGUAAAGGGAAUUCCUGGUGUAGCGGUGAAAUGCGUAGAUAUCAGGAGGAACAUCGGUGGCGUAAGCGCUUUACUGGGCCAUAAUUGACGCUGAGGAACGAAAGCCAGGGUAGCAAAUGGGAUUAGAUACCCUAGUAGUC